Molecule: long non-coding RNA, 632 nt
Filed under: Neogale vison (American mink)
Lineage: Eukaryota; Metazoa; Chordata; Mammalia; Carnivora; Mustelidae
Description: Neovison vison (American mink) lncRNA (ENSNVIG00000004987.1)
Source: RNAcentral
GGAAAUAGUUAAAGCAUCCGCAGAUGGUCACUCCAUAUCGUUGGGGAAGAAAGCAAGUUAGGAAGCAGCACGUGUGAUAGGAUCUCGUUGGAGAGGACAAAGCAAACACUACGCACACAUACCUUGAGGUGUCACAAUGACCAGAAGUAUUCACCCAGACUGUAUUUUCGGAUUACUGCAUUAUAGGAAAUUAUCACAGCCACCAGUGGGAAGACAGUCAGUGGAUGGAUCUUGGACAUGACCUUGCUCCUUAGUGACCCAUGACAGUCACCCUGGAGUUGUCAGCGAACGAGGAGGAAUCUGCUUGGAGAGGUUGAGGAAAAAGGAAGACAUCUUUCUGGUAUUCCUGAGUUACAAUGUGGAGGAACCCCCGCCGCCCUGCUUUCUGGUUUGGAGCUUGUGUCCACAAGAGUGCAGUACCACUGACAGAACUGGAGAAGCUGGAGAGAGACAUUGUUUCAGUGUGAGGAUGACGCGUGAAGCCAUUCAGCCAAAUAUUUGGACCCUUCAUCCCUGAGAGGUCGGAGAUCUGCAUGCUAUCCUAGACUUUGACAACCUACUAGGUUGUCAACUUAAGCAUAUCUUGGCAAAUGUGUAUCACGUCAAUAUAGAUCACUUGACUUGAGUGAGAA